GACGAACGCUGGCGGCGUGCUUAACACAUGCAAGUCGAACGGAAAGGCCCUGCUUUUGUGGGGUGCUCGAGUGGCGAACGGGUGAGUAACACGUGAGUAACCUGCCCUUGACUUUGGGAUAACUUCAGGAAACUGGGGCUAAUACCGGAUAGGAGCUCCUGCUGCAUGGUGGGGGUUGGAAAGUUUCGGCGGUUGGGGAUGGACUCGCGGCUUAUCAGCUUGUUGGUGGGGUAGUGGCUUACCAAGGCUUUGACGGGUAGCCGGCCUGAGAGGGUGACCGGCCACAUUGGGACUGAGAUACGGCCCAGACUCCUACGGGAGGCAGCAGUGGGGAAUAUUGCACAAUGGGCGGAAGCCUGAUGCAGCAACGCCGCGUGCGGGAUGACGGCCUUCGGGUUGUAAACCGCUUUCGCCUGUGACGAAGCGUGAGUGACGGUAAUGGGUAAAGAAGCACCGGCUAACUACGUGCCAGCAGCCGCGGUGAUACGUAGGGUGCGAGCGUUGUCCGGAUUUAUUGGGCGUAAAGGGCUCGUAGGUGGUUGAUCGCGUCGGAAGUGUAAUCUUGGGGCUUAACCCUGAGCGUGCUUUCGAUACGGGUUGACUUGAGGAAGGUAGGGGAGAAUGGAAUUCCUGGCGGAGCGGUGGAAUGCGCAGAUAUCAGGGGGAACACCAGUGGCGAAGGCGGUUCUCUGGGCCUUUCCUGACGCUGAGGAGCGAAAGCGUGGGGAGCGAACAGGCUUAGAUACCCUGGUAGUCCACGCUGUAAACGGUGGGUACUAGGUGUGGGGUCCAUUCCACGGGUUCCGUGCCGUAGCUAACGCUUUAAGUACCCCGCCUGGGGAGUACGGCCGCAAGGCUAAAACUCAAAGGAAUUGACGGGGCCCCGCACAAGCGGCGGAGCAUGCGGAUUAAUUCGAUGCAACGCGUAGAACCUUACCUGGGUUUGACAUGGAUCGGGAGUGCUCAGAGAUGGGUGUGCCUCUUUUGGGGUCGGUUCACAGGUGGUGCAUGGCUGUCGUCAGCUCGUGUCGUGAGAUGUUGGGUUAAGUCCCGCAACGAGCGCAACCCUUGUUCACUGUUGCCAGCACGUUAUGGUGGGGACUCAGUGGAGACCGCCGGGGUCAACUCGGAGGAAGGUGGGGAUGACGUCAAGUCAUCAUGCCCCUUAUGUCCAGGGCUUCACGCAUGCUACAAUGGCUGGUACAGAGAGUGGCGAGCCUGUGAGGGUGAGCGAAUCUCGGAAAGCCGGUCUCAGUUCGGAUUGGGGUCUGCAACUCGACCUCAUGAAGUCGGAGUCGCUAGUAAUCGCAGAUCAGCAACGCUGCGGUGAAUACGUUCCCGGGGCU
Molecule: ribosomal RNA, 1346 nt
Filed under: uncultured bacterium
Lineage: Bacteria
Description: partial 16S ribosomal RNA
Rfam family: Bacterial small subunit ribosomal RNA
Source: RNAcentral